CGGCGGAACACGUGAAAUUCCGUCGGAAUCCGGGAGGACCAUCUCCCAAGGCUAAAUACUCCCUAGUGACCGAUAGUGAACCAGUACCGUGAGGGAAAGGUGAAAAGCACCCCGGAAGGGGAGUGAAACAGUUCCUGAAACCGUGUGCCUACAAGUAGUUAGAGCCCGUUAAUGGGUGAUAGCGUGCCUUUUGUAGAAUGAACCGGCGAGUUACGAUUUGUUGCAAGGUUAAGCGGAAAAAGCGGAGCCGUAGCGAAAGCGAGUCUGAAUAGGGCGCAUAAGUAACAGGUCGUAGACCCGAAACCAGGUGAUCUACCCAUGUCCAGGAUGAAGGUAAGGUAAUACUUACUGGAGGUCCGAACCCACGCACGUUGAAAAGUGCGGGGAUGAGGUGUGGGUAGCGGAGAAAUUCCAAUCGAACUUGGAGAUAGCUGGUUCUCUCCGAAAUAGCUUUAGGGCUAGCCUCGAGGUAAAGAGUCAUGGAGGUAGAGCACUGUUUGGACUAGGGGCCCUUCUCGGGUUACCGAAUUCAGAUAAACUCCGAAUGCCAUGUACUUAUACUCGGGAGUCAGACUGCGAGUGAUAAGAUCCGUAGUCGAAAGGGAAACAGCC
This 612-nucleotide ribosomal RNA is filed under the name Listeria monocytogenes. RNAcentral describes it as "bacterial LSU rRNA". It matches the Rfam family "Bacterial large subunit ribosomal RNA", at positions 415 to 1027 of the family's 2925-position model. Lineage: Bacteria; Bacillati; Bacillota; Bacilli; Caryophanales; Listeriaceae. The record is from RNAcentral.